UGUAGGACAUGGGGAAAGAGACACUGAGUUACUUGCCCUGAUACACCCGAUGUGUAUGGGCCAUUUGAUGUGUAUGGGCUAUUUGAUGUGCAGGUCAGGGGUGGUUGUGCCUACUUCGUUAUCUUUAUCGAUGAUCUGUCUAAGUACGGAUAUGUAUAUCUGAUGAAACACAAGUUUGAGGCCUUUGAAAGGUUCAAAGAAUUCAGACAUGAGGUAGAAAAAUAAACAGGCAAAUCCAUUAAGAUUCUUCGAUC
This 254-nucleotide long non-coding RNA is filed under the name Elaeis guineensis (African oil palm). RNAcentral describes it as "long non-coding RNA (EGUI_LNC040567)". The record is from RNAcentral. Lineage: Eukaryota; Viridiplantae; Streptophyta; Magnoliopsida; Arecales; Arecaceae.